RNAcentral lists this ribosomal RNA (433 nucleotides) under uncultured bacterium. RNAcentral's name for it is "partial 16S ribosomal RNA". It matches the Rfam family "Bacterial small subunit ribosomal RNA", at positions 29 to 507 of the family's 1533-position model. The record is from RNAcentral.
AACGAACGCUGGCGGCAUGCCUAACACAUGCAAGUCGAACGAGACCUUCGGGUCUAGUGGCGCACGGGUGCGUAACGCGUGGGAACCUGCCCUUAGGUUCGGAAUAACUCCCCGAAAGGGGUGCUAAUACCGGAUAAUGUCUUCGGACCAAAGAUUUAUCGCCUUUGGAUGGGCCCGCGUUGGAUUAGCUAGUUGGUAGGGUAAAAGCCUACCAAGGCGACGUUCCAUAGCUGGUCUGAGAGGAUGAUCAGCCACACUGGGACUGAGACACGGCCCAGACUCCUACGGGAGGCAGCAGUGGGGAAUAUUGGACAAUGGGCGAAAGCCUGAUCCAGCAAUGCCGCGUGAGUGAUGAAGGCCUUAGGGUUGUAAAGCUCUUUUACCCGGGAUGAUAAUGACAGUACCGGGAGAAUAAGCUCCGGCUAACUCCGUG